Bombus terrestris (buff-tailed bumblebee) is the source of this 931-nucleotide long non-coding RNA. RefSeq lists it as uncharacterized. The record is from RefSeq and is a predicted model, not a curated record. The transcript is spliced from 4 exons. Lineage: Eukaryota; Metazoa; Arthropoda; Insecta; Hymenoptera; Apidae.
AAGGAUAGAGUGCGAGGGCGAGCUGAGAAAGCGAAAGCGAAAGCGAAAGAGAACGCUGCAUAAAGGCCUCUUGUGUCCUUGUCUAAUAACGCAUGCUCGUUCGUAUAGCAAACAUAUAAGUGUAUAGCCAACACAAACAUUGUCAGUGUCAUGCCUGAUUAGACAAGGACAGAAGACACUUUUAUGCAGCGUUCUUUCUACUCCUAUAUCGCAUCCACUUACACGAUAAUUUAAGACUAUAUGACUCGCGUACUCUAACUCUUUGUAUAUCUAUGGUUAUAAUAGACAUUUAUUGCAGUCUCACAGUUGUUAGAAAUUUUGAGUUUUAGGACAUGUCUAAGAAUCAUCGAAAUGGAAAGGUUUCCUCGGUGCGUCAAUAUCUUCAAGAAUUCGUGGACAUGGCUGCAAGCGUUAGUGGAGAGGACAGAGUCGUUCUAUCAGGCGUAACGAUCAGUGGACAGUCCUGUGCGAAAUCUUCAGUUGCGAACAGUAUCUCCAAGCAUCGAUGAAGUUUUUACCGGUUGCAGUUUACCAGUUUGAAUCGGCGUCCUUGAUCGAUAGUUAUUUUCGAAGGUACGCCGAAACGAGCUAUUCGUGUAGAGAGGAGAACCGAGGCAACGGUUGUCGCUUCCAUAUCAACGAUGGGAAUGGCUUCGGACCAACGCGAAAAACGGUCGAUACACGUUAGACAAUGUGAGAAUACGUGCCUGGUGACAUUGCAUCGUUGACACGGGAUACAUUGUCGUGCCCAAGUCCGGCAAUCUUUAUUUACGGACGGUCAAAUGAAACGCGACGUCACCAAUUUUUGCGUGGCACGUAUCUCUGGAUGGGAAAGUCCGUGGAGCGAAUUAAACACGUCGCGCCGCAAGGAUUUCGGUACGUACCAUCGUACAAUGUCGCCUGAUAUGUCGCAAUAAAUUUCUACCUAUAA